GACGAACGCUGGCGGCGUGGAUUAGGCAUGCAAGUCGAACGGUAUCAUCCUUUCGGGGGUGAGAGAGUGGCGAACUGGUGAGUAACACGUAGGUUAUCUACCCUCAAGACGGGGACAACCCAGGGAAACUUGGGCUAAUACCGGAUGUGAGCAACUUUUAGUUGUUUGAAAGGUGGCGUAAGCUGUCGCUUGGGGAUGAGCCUGCGUCCUAUUAGUUAGUUGGUGAGGUAACGGCUCACCUAGGCAAUGAUAGGUAGGCGGCCUUAACGGGUGGUCGCCCACACUGGGAUUGAGAUACGGCCCAGACUCCUACGGGAGGCAGCAGUCGAGAAUAGUCUACAAUGGUCGGAAGACUGAUAGUGCGACGCCGCGUGAACGAUGAAUCCCUUCGGGUGUAAAGUUCUUUUAUAUGUGAGCAGUGCUUCUUAUAUUAACAGUAUGGGGAGAGAGAUAUUAGCAUAUGAAUAAGCAACGGCUAACUCCGUGCCAGCAGCCGCGGUAAAACG
RNAcentral lists this ribosomal RNA (506 nucleotides) under uncultured bacterium. RNAcentral's name for it is "bacterial SSU rRNA". It matches the Rfam family "Bacterial small subunit ribosomal RNA", at positions 28 to 527 of the family's 1533-position model. The record is from RNAcentral.